RNAcentral lists this ribosomal RNA (791 nucleotides) under uncultured archaeon. Its description in RNAcentral is "bacterial SSU rRNA". It matches the Rfam family "Archaeal small subunit ribosomal RNA", at positions 85 to 879 of the family's 1478-position model. The record is from RNAcentral.
ACUGCUCAGUAACACGUGGAUAACAUGCCCUAAGGUGGGGGAUAAUCUCGGGAAACUGAGGAUAAUACCCCAUAGAUCUAGGAUGCUGGAAUGCUUCUAGGUCCAAAACUCCGGUGCCUUAGGAUUGGUCUGCGGUCUAUCAGGCAGUAGUGGGUGUAAUGGACCCACUAGCCCGUGACGGAUAUGGGCCUUGAGAGAGGGUGCCCAGAGAUGGACUCUGAGACAUGAGUCCAGGCCCUACGGGGCGCAGCAGUCGCGAAAACUUCGCAAUGGGGGAAACCCCGACGAGGGAAUUCCAAGUGCUAGCACUUUGUGUUAGCUGUUCUUCUGUCUAAAAAACAGGAGAAGUAAGGGGCGGGUAAGACGGGUGCCAGCCGCCGCGGUAAUACCCGCGCCCCGAGUGGUGGUCGAUAUUAUUGAGCCUAAAACGUCCGUAGCCGGUCUUCUAAAUCCUUGGGUAAAUCGGGCAGCUUAACUGUCCGAAUUCCGGGGAGACUGGGAGACUUGGGACCGGGAGAGGUCAGAGGUACUUCUGGGGUAGGGGUAAAAUCCUGUAAUCCUGGAAGGACCACCGGUGGCGAAGGCGUCUGACUAGAACGGAUCCGACGGUGAGGGACGAAGCCCUGGGGCGCAAACGGGAUUAGAUACCCCGGUAGUCCAGGGUGUAAACGCUGCGGGCUUGGUGUUGGGGGUCCUUAGUGGGCGCCCAGUGCCGGAGAGAAGUUGUUAAGCCUGCUGCUUGGGGAGUAUGUCCGCAAGGAUGAAACUUAAAGGAAUUGGCGGGGGAGCAC